UGGGGAAUAUUGGACAAUGGGGGGAACCCUGAUCCAGCCAUGCCGCGUGUGUGAAGAAGGCCUUAUGGUUGUAAAGCACUUUAAGCGAGGAGGAGGGUACUGGUAUUAAUACUACCAGGUACUGGACGUUACUCGCAGAAUAAGCACCGGCUAACUCUGUGCCAGCAGCCGCGGUAAUACAGAGGGUGCGAGCGUUAAUCGGAUUUACUGGGCGUAAAGCGUGCGUAGGCGGCUAAUUGAGUCGGAUGUGAAAUCCCCGGGCUUAACUUGGGAAUUGCAUUCGAUACUGGUUAGCUAGAGUGUGGGAGAGGAUGGUAGAAUUCCAGGUGUAGCGGUGAAAUGCGUAGAGAUCUGGAGGAAUACCGAUGGCGAAGGCAGCCAUCUGGCCUAACACUGACGCUGAGGUACGAAAGCAUGGGGAGCAAACAGG
This 430-nucleotide ribosomal RNA is filed under the name Pseudomonadota bacterium. RNAcentral describes it as "Proteobacteria bacterium partial 16S ribosomal RNA". It matches the Rfam family "Bacterial small subunit ribosomal RNA", at positions 355 to 776 of the family's 1533-position model. The record is from RNAcentral. Lineage: Bacteria; Pseudomonadati; Pseudomonadota.